This 251-nucleotide ribosomal RNA is filed under the name uncultured Bacillota bacterium. Its description in RNAcentral is "uncultured Firmicutes bacterium partial 16S ribosomal RNA". It matches the Rfam family "Bacterial small subunit ribosomal RNA", at positions 796 to 1041 of the family's 1533-position model. The record is from RNAcentral. Lineage: Bacteria; Bacillati; Bacillota.
CACGCCGUAAACGAUGGGUACUAGGUGUAGGAGGUAUCGACCCCUUCUGUGCCGCAGCUAACGCAUUAAGUACCCCGCCUGGGGAGUACGGCCGCAAGGUUGAAACUCAAAGGAAUUGACGGGGGCCCGCACAAGCGGUGGAGCAUGUGGUUUAAUUCGACGCAACGCGAAGAACCUUACCAGGGCUUGACAUCCUUUGAAUUCUGAUGAAAGUUGGAAGUGCCCCUUCGGGGGAGCAAAGAGACAGGUGG